This is a long non-coding RNA of Triticum dicoccoides, 2503 nucleotides long. RefSeq lists it as uncharacterized. The transcript has 8 exons. Lineage: Eukaryota; Viridiplantae; Streptophyta; Magnoliopsida; Poales; Poaceae. The record is from RefSeq and is a predicted model, not a curated record.
CACAGCCCCGCACGCAAACCCUAGCGCUAUCCCUUGCAGCCGCCUCCCACCGCCACUCUAGAUCCAGAUCUGCGUCCCUCUCCGCUCGCUGCCUCCCUCUCCGCUCGCCGCCGGUCUGCACCCUCCCCUCCCAUCCCUCUCCCCUACCUUUGCCGCCCAUCUUCGCCGCCGCGCAUCCACAGGAGCAACACGAGCGGCGCGCCAUGGGGUGGCACCGCCAACUUCUUCUCAUCAGCGCUCGCUGCGGAAUGGAAAUAAGGGGCCGGCUGUCGCCGCGCGCUGUUCCUGCGGGUUGUCGCUGCGGGGGCCGGCUGCAUCCUCCUCCCGCCCAUGGAGGAUGAUGAGGGCGAGGACGCGGAGGCCGGCGAGGGGGGAGGCGGUGGAGGGGUGUGCCCGCUCUGGUACGAGCUCACUCGUAUGUGAUCCCGGGCACCGGAGGGCCAGCGACAAGUCCGUGAAGGAGAAGCGCAAGAUCGUCAACGGAGGCGACCUAAUCUGGUCCAUUGGCGCUUCUCCCAGUGGCGGCACGAGGAGCUCAGCCGCAUCGUGGACGCCGCCGUGGAGCCCAACCUCGUCUCGAGGACCAACGACGGUUGGAGUGACUUAAUCGAGCGCUAUGAGGGCAUAAAUCAUGGUGAAUAUCUGAAACUGUUUGCGGAUAUCGCAACGUUGAGGCAUGAGAGUGACCACCUGGAGGCCAGCGUGAGGAGGCAGACAGGAGAAGACCUGCCGUCCGGCGCAACCGCGGCAGAGCUCCGCGGUCUGGAGCACAAGCUAGAGUGCAUGCUGGGAUAAACUGAUGGAGGAGCAGCUGGACGAAUCACACCACAGGGUGCACAUCCUGGAGGAGCAGAACAGCUUCCUUGGCCACAUGGCCUUCAAGUACAAGAGGCUUCUGCUUGACUAUAACAGCGUACAUGACCAACAAGUUCUGCUGAUGAGUAGCAUCUCUUAUUUAGCCAUUGUUUCAGCAAUUUUCACUUAAGCAGACAUGUGUUCUGGUUCUCAGUUCCUGCAUAGGCAUUGCUGAUAAGAUAAAGAAUAACAACUAUAUAAAUGGAGGUGGUUGGGUAGCAUGGAUUAUGCUGGACUGACUAAGCUUGAGUCCAAAUUUCCUUAAUUGUGAAUUCAGUUAGCCAUUGUUUGAGCAAAUCAUUUCUGCAUGCAUGUGUACUGGGGUUAGUACUAUCUACUAUGGUGAAUGCCAUCAAACAAUUAAGUUGCUUCAUUUGAUUGCCUGCUACAUCUCCACUUAAAUACUCAUAAUGCUACUGUCCAGAUCUUGUUCAACUGGACUGACUACAUAUCUCUUGUUAAAAUUGUGAUCUUGAUCUUUUGUUUAAACCUGAAACAUCAUGCAUAACUAGCUCUUCCUUUAGAGUCUAAACCUGAGACCUCUUUUGUUUUAUAUUCAGUUCUAUCACUGAUGGUCACACUGCUGUUUUGCUAUGCUUGAUAAACCUGAGACCUCUUUCUAUUCUUCUUCUUUAGGUCACACUGUUGUUUUGCUGUGGUUGAUAAACCUGAGACUUCUUUCUAUUAUUCAAGGCGGUUUUGUUUAGGCCAUCCAUGGAGCAGAAAGAACGGACAUUGCUACUUCAGCAAGAGGGAAGACCCAACGAGGCCAUGAUGCUUACCUUGCUCGAGCGCAUCAACCCCGACCAUGGCACCACAUUCACAGUCUUGAGGUAGCCGUGCUGCAACUACAUCAACGCUAUCUUCUCUGACUAGAUAAGUCUUCGGUGUAUCCCAUUAUUUUCUUUUGUUCUUUGGUCGAUGGGCCAUGAUGCCAUUGUGUUGAUUCCCUAUGUGAUGCAGAAGCUAUGGUGUUUUGUUUUAAGUCUGUUGUAAAUUGUAAUUGAUAAUGAUUUGUGUAAAAUUAGUGUAGAACAUAUGUCCUGUUAUCUUAAGUCAUUUGUGCAUGCUCAAUGAACCAUCUGAGAUUGAAUCAUUUUUUGCGUUCAACAUCUAGAACCAUUAUGUCUGUGUUGGUAUCAUGCUACAACUGUGCUUUCUUGUCUCUUGUGUUGUGUGGUCCUUGUGGUUGUUACUGUUACAUGUACAUAUGCUUCAUGAUUCGGUCCCUAGAUGCUUUGCAUGUUUGUUUUUAUUCUGUUUCUAACUCCUUUUGUUUAUUGUUAGAUGCCUUUGUUCAGCCUCUACAAACAAGAGCUCCAACCUGAAAGUGAAGAAAGCAGAAGUAUACUUGUAGAGCCUUUGUUCUAGAGCGCCAGGACAAAUUUGAAGUGCAAAGCCAUGAAGCCAAGUGCAAAGCCGGGAUGCCAGAGAUUUGUUUGUUCUGUUUGACUGUAAUAGGCUGUAGAGAUUGUGACAUUGUAACAAAUUUAGUGUUAUUUGAUAAAUUAUGUUUGUUUUGUUUUGUUUGAAAUAGUGAUUUAAAAAUUUGUCAAAUGUAAACCUGAUUAGUGGGAUCCACUUACCAAAAUAAUCUGAGCGAUGUUGAAGAUCUGAUGUGUGGGACCAAUAUAUGAGAUUAUGAUUU